CAUGUCUUUUUGAUUAUAAUUUAAGGUUUGACCUGCUCAAUGAAUUAUUAAAUUGCCGCGGUAUCUUGACCGUGCAAAGGUAGCAUAAUAAUUAGUUUUUUUAUUGAAAGCUGGAAUGAAUGGUUGGACGAGAGAACUGCUGUCUCUUUUCAAUUUUAUUUUUAAUUUAACUUUUAAGUUAAAAGGCUUAAAUUUUUUUUAAAGACGAGAAGACCCUAUAGAGUUUUACAUUCUUUAAUUUAUUUUCUUUUUGGUAUUUUAAUGUUUUAUAAUUUAAGGUUUGUUUGGUUGGGGUGACCAGAAGAUAAAAUAAACUCUUCUUUUUUAAUCAUUGAUUUUUGAAUUAAUAAUCUAGAUUUUCUAAAUUUAAUAUAAAUUACCUUAGGGAUAACAGCGUAAUUUCUUUUUAGAGUUCUUAUUGAAAAAGAAGUUUGCGACCUCGAUGUUGGAUUAAAAUUAAUUUUUGGUGCAAAAGCUUUAAAAUUAAGUCUGUUCGACUUUUGAAAUUUUACAUGAUCUGAGU
RNAcentral lists this ribosomal RNA (523 nucleotides) under Melanotus villosus. RNAcentral's name for it is "partial 16S ribosomal RNA". It matches the Rfam family "Archaeal large subunit ribosomal RNA", at positions 1954 to 2679 of the family's 2987-position model. Lineage: Eukaryota; Metazoa; Arthropoda; Insecta; Coleoptera; Elateridae. The record is from RNAcentral.